Molecule: ribosomal RNA, 301 nt
Filed under: uncultured bacterium
Lineage: Bacteria
Description: partial 16S ribosomal RNA
Rfam family: Bacterial small subunit ribosomal RNA
Source: RNAcentral
CAGCAGCCACGGGAAUACGUAGGGUGCAAGCGUUAAUCGGAAUUACUGGGCGUAAAGCGUGCGCAGGCGGUUUUGUAAGACAGAGGUGAAAUCCCCGGGCUCAACCUGGGAACUGCCUUUGUGACUGCAAGGCUAGAGUACGGCAGAGGGGGAUGGAAUUCCGCGUGUAGCAGUGAAAUGCGUAGAUAUGCGGAGGAACACCGAUGGCGAAGGCAAUCCCCUGGGCCUGUACUGACGCUCAUGCACGAAAGCGUGGGGAGCAAACAGGAUUAGAUACCCGCGUAGUCCCUGUCUCUUAUAC